UAAAAUUGCAAAUGGAUCGUCUAACAAGCUGUGAUUUUUCAGUAUACAGUCUGAGUUAAACCUACUCCAUCUGUUACAGUUAUCUACAUUAGUGUGCAUGCAGGAACUUUCAGUAAUGUUUUGGCUUUAUUCAACUGCCAUCUUUGUUUAUUUCCGUCUGGUCGUCUUGCUGUUCGUGAUGGAAAAAGAGCCCUUAUCGAAUACGUAAUACAGCAUGAUUGAAGAUGACUACUGUGACCGGUGAAAAAAUUUAUGGAAAUCAACCUCCUUCCGGAUGUUUUCGUACCAGGUGGAUUCUACGACAGCAUCCAGUAGAUUCCUGUGGCGGAGCAGCUUAAUGUGGUGUUGUUUUUGCGCCACUAUGCAGGAAAAACUACGGCGCAUACCGUAGGUGGUUUUGCGGGGUGGACAAACAAGACCUCAACAAUAACGGUGCGGAUUAGUGCGGAUAAUAUUAUUAAACAAGUGAUUUAAGUUAUACAUAUAUUGAUUCUAAUAAAAAUGAGUAGAACUAAUUUGUUUUUUUUUUCAAUUUUUCAUCUCGAAUGUACGUAUUUUUAAU
Armigeres subalbatus is the source of this 562-nucleotide long non-coding RNA. RefSeq lists it as uncharacterized. The transcript has 4 exons. NCBI's taxonomy places the organism in Eukaryota, Metazoa, Arthropoda, Insecta, Diptera, Culicidae. The record is from RefSeq and is a predicted model, not a curated record.